Molecule: ribosomal RNA, 450 nt
Filed under: uncultured bacterium
Lineage: Bacteria
Description: partial 16S ribosomal RNA
Rfam family: Bacterial small subunit ribosomal RNA
Source: RNAcentral
GUGGGGAAUAUUCCGCAAUGGACGAAAGUCUGACGGAGCAACGCCGCGUGAGUGAUGAAGGUUUUCGGACUGUAAAGCUCUGUUGUUUAGGACGAAAGUGCCUGUUGCGAACAGUUACAGGUAUUGACGGUACUAAACGAGGAAGCCACGGCUAACUACGUGCCAGCAGCCGCGGUAAUACGUAGGUGGCAAGCGUUGUCCGGAAUUAUUGGGCGUAAAGAGCAUGUAGGCGGAGAUUUAAGUCUGUUGUGAAAAUGCGGGGCUCAACCCCGUAUUGCGAUGGAAACUGAAGUUCUGGAGUGCAGGAGAGGAAAGGGGAAUUCCCAGUGUAGCGGUGAAAUGCGUAGAUAUUGGGAGGAACACCAGUGGCGAAGGCGCCUUUCUGGACUGUGUCUGACGCUGAGAUGCGAAAGCCAGGGUAGCGAACGGGAUUAGAAACCCGAGUAGUCC